Molecule: ribosomal RNA, 109 nt
Filed under: Aotus nancymaae (Ma's night monkey)
Lineage: Eukaryota; Metazoa; Chordata; Mammalia; Primates; Aotidae
Source: RNAcentral
UACUGCCAUACUCCCCUACACAUGCCCGAUCUCAUCUGAUCUCCGAAGCUAAGCAGGGUCAGGCCUGGUUAGUACUUGGAUGGGAGAAAUGGAAUAAUGGAGCAAGUGU